This 77-nucleotide transfer RNA is filed under the name Rhodopseudomonas sp. BR0C11. RNAcentral's name for it is "tRNA-Arg". It matches the Rfam family "tRNA". Rfam says of the family: Transfer RNA (tRNA) molecules are approximately 80 nucleotides in length. Their secondary structure includes four short double-helical elements and three loops (D, anti-codon, and T loops). The record is from RNAcentral. Lineage: Bacteria; Pseudomonadati; Pseudomonadota; Alphaproteobacteria; Hyphomicrobiales; Nitrobacteraceae.
CCACCCGUAGCUCAGUGGAAGAGAGCGGCGUGCUACGAACGCGCAGGGCGGGGGUUCGAGUCCCUCCGGGUGGUCCA